UACAGAGGGGGCAAGCGUUAUUCGGAAUUAUUGGGCGUAAAGGGCGCGUAGGCGGCUUUGCAAGUGACGGGUGAAAGCCCUCGGCUUAACCGAGGAACUGCCUGUCAGACUGUGAGGCUUGAGACCAGGAGAGGUGAGUGGAAUUCCCGGUGUAGCGGUGAAAUGCGUAGAUAUUGGGAGGAACACCAAUAGCGAAGGCAGCUCGCUGGGACGUUACUGACACUGAGGCGCGAAAGCGUGGGGAGCGAACAGG
RNAcentral lists this ribosomal RNA (253 nucleotides) under uncultured bacterium. RNAcentral's name for it is "partial 16S ribosomal RNA". It matches the Rfam family "Bacterial small subunit ribosomal RNA", at positions 524 to 776 of the family's 1533-position model. The record is from RNAcentral.